AGUUAUUCGAAUCAACUCGAUUUUUUUUUUCGAAUUUCGAGUUUGAAUCGAGUUAAGUUUUCGAAUUCGAAUAACUCGAAUAAUUCGGAUAAUUCGAAUAUCAAACUAUAAUAUUUGACAGUUUUACCCUAAACUCCCAAACCUUUUUACUUUUCCCUCAAAACUUUUACUCCUUCCCACUUUCCCCCUAGAACUUUUACUCCCCUCCCCUCCCAACCCCCCAAUCUACCCAAAAUACAUUUCCCACCAAAAUUUUACUCUCCCAUUUACUUUUUCUCAAAAUUUUACUCC
Molecule: long non-coding RNA, 291 nt
Filed under: Gossypium raimondii (Peruvian cotton)
Lineage: Eukaryota; Viridiplantae; Streptophyta; Magnoliopsida; Malvales; Malvaceae
Description: long non-coding RNA (GRAI_LNC005454)
Source: RNAcentral